UGCUCUGCGAUUUCUUCGCUUCUUGAUUGCUCGUUUGAGGGCCUAUUUAUUCUUCUGGCCCCAAAAAGUGAGAGGUACGAAAAACCAAUUAUUUACUUCCUUUUCUUCCCAAAAUUCUGCUGUGUUUGAGAAUCUUUGGGCUGUGUGUCUAGAAUCGGGUUGUGGGUUUUUCUCGGAUACAGUCUGUGUGAGUAUCUGUUCUUUGGGAUUUGGGUUUCUGAGUGAGGGUUCGGGUGAGUACGGGUCUUGACGGAAGGUGGCUGUUCGUGGUGGUGUGGCUCGAUUCCUGGAGUGCUGGAGGCACCUGGAC
Molecule: long non-coding RNA, 310 nt
Filed under: Erythranthe guttata (spotted monkey flower)
Lineage: Eukaryota; Viridiplantae; Streptophyta; Magnoliopsida; Lamiales; Phrymaceae
Description: long non-coding RNA (EGUT_LNC000718)
Source: RNAcentral